CUGGUUGAUCCUGCCAGUAGUCAUAUGCUUGUCUCAAAGAUUAAGCCAUGCAUGUCUAAGUAUAAGCAAUUGUACGGUGAAACUGCGAAUGGCUCAUUAAAUCAGUUAUCGUUUAUUUGAUAGUACCUUACUACUUGGAUAUCCGUGGUAAUUCUAGAGCUAAUACAUGCUGAAAAUCCCGACUUCGGAAGGGACGUGUUUAUUAGAUAAAAAACCAAUGCCCUUCGGGGCUUUUUGGUGAUUCAUGAUAACUUUACGGAUCGCAUAGCCUUGCGCUGGCGACGGUUCAUUCAAAUUUCUGCCCUAUCAACUUUCGAUGGUAGGGUAUUGGCUUACCAUGGUUUCAACGGGUAACGGGGAAUUAGGGUUCGAUUCCGGAGAGGGAGCCUGAGAAACGGCUACCACAUCCAAGGAAGGCAGCAGGCGCGCAAAUUACCCAAUCCCGACACGGGGAGGUAGUGACAAUAAAUACUGAUACAGGGCUCUUUUGGGUCUUGUAAUUGGAAUGAGUACAAUUUAAACCUCUUAACGAGGAACAAUUGGAGGGCAAGUCUGGU
Molecule: ribosomal RNA, 557 nt
Filed under: uncultured Alternaria
Lineage: Eukaryota; Fungi; Ascomycota; Dothideomycetes; Pleosporales; Pleosporaceae
Description: SSU rRNA
Rfam family: Eukaryotic small subunit ribosomal RNA
Source: RNAcentral